Molecule: unclassified non-coding RNA, 362 nt
Filed under: uncultured bacterium
Lineage: Bacteria
Description: contains 16S-23S intergenic spacer region
Source: RNAcentral
UCCCCGUUACCGGGGCAGUCUGAUUAGAAAAAUACAACUAAUCACAAGGGUUGCGCUCGUUGAUGGACUUAACCAAACAUCUCACGACACGAGCUGACGACGGCCAUGCAACAGCUGUCACCAAGUUCAAUAAAGCACUCUCGCCUUUCGGCAAAAUUCUUGGGAUGUCAAACCCUGGUAAGGUUCAUCGGUUAUCAUCGAAUUAAAGAACAUAAUCCACCGCUUGUGCGGCUCCCCGUCAAUUCCUUUAUGUUUUAGUCUUGCGACCGUACUCCCCAGGCGGGAUGCUUAACGCGUUAGCUUAGGCACUGCCCCAAAGAGCGGGGCAACACCGAGCAUCCAUCGUUUACGGCGUGGACUAC